AGGUAAGGUAGAAAAGCAUUAAUGCACAGGAUCCUAUAAGAAUUCCAUAGUUAAGCGUGUUUGGGCGAGAGCAGUUCUAGAACGGGUGACCUCCUGGAAAGUCCCCGGGUCGUACACC
RNAcentral lists this ribosomal RNA (118 nucleotides) under Cephalotus follicularis. Lineage: Eukaryota; Viridiplantae; Streptophyta; Magnoliopsida; Oxalidales; Cephalotaceae. The record is from RNAcentral.